Molecule: long non-coding RNA, 2584 nt
Organism: Scophthalmus maximus (turbot)
Lineage: Eukaryota; Metazoa; Chordata; Actinopteri; Pleuronectiformes; Scophthalmidae
Exons: 3
Source: RefSeq, a predicted model, not a curated record
ACACACACACACACACACACACACACACACACACACACACACACACACACAGAGGCAGGCAGGCGUAGCAUGGGGGGACCAGGGCCCAAGGGUGGGGAGGGGGCCCUAGGAGACCCUGGAGCUGCUAGCUAGCAGCUACCUAGCUGAGAUCGACACAGCUGCUAUUGCUAGCUAGCUGGCUAACUGUAACUUUUUUUUACUACCUGAAUACAGUAGGAGUUACCUAGCUAGUUACUAUGAGAACACAGACAGUAUAAAAGAAAUAAUCAACAUCAUAGCUGCAGGGGGCCCACAGAGACUGCCGAGAAUUUGGUGCUACACACACACACACACACACACACACACACACACACACACACACACACACACACACACACACACACACACACACACACACACACACACACACAGUAGCUGUAUCUCAGCGAAGACACCCAUUGGCACGAUGCUUUGCUGAGCCCCUUACCCUGACCUUAACCAUCAUAACUAACCUCAACCCCUUACUGUUACCUUAAUUCUAAACAUCAUUUUUUUCUCACGUUCUUCCUCUCCAGCCAGAUUGUUUAUUACAUCAUUCAUUUUCCUGGUUGUAUUUUGGAGGUGGCCUUUGAGCCGGGCGCGGACGACCUCUGGAAGACGACCUUUCCAGGAUCCAAGUGACUAACCUCUUGAGGGCGGAGGGCCCCUCCCCUUCUACAAAUGAGAAAAGAAAGAGGUGCACAUAACAAAAUCUGCAUUUGUAUAAGUUUGGCAUGUGUGGAAUCUUCGUGCCACGUCAAUAAAUCACCAAGUAAACUGAACUGAGGGCAACGGAUCAAUUCUGACAAAGACACUAAACACACAAUGAGAUAGGGAGAGAAGACAGAAUGUGGGUUGGGUUUUUGUGGAAAAAUACACUUAAUAUUAUGUGGGUAUUCUGAAAAAGAGCAGACAUUUUAUGAGGAUGGAUAAUAUUUAAUUUAUUAGGGCAAUACGUCUUUUUUAAGAUCCCCUCCAAACACCUGUUAAUUCAUAUGGAAAAACUUGAGUAAGUCAACAAAACAAUCACACACAUUGAACGGGUGGACGUCUCACAGUGAAUCAUUUCUGUAUGUUCUGAUUGUAAAAAUAAAUACACAACCGUGUUCUUUUGUAUUGGUGAAUAUUUGGUUUCCCUUUUCUUCUGAGGACCACGAUUAUUAUCAAGUUCGCGGACACGGAUUAUGUUGUUUUUACCAGCUGCUGAACACCUAUUGAGGAAAAACAUGAUAACUACACUGUUUCCUUAGAGUCAAACUAAUUUAAGAUUUUUUGCUUUAUCCGCAUUCAAAAUGCAAUCAAAAAGAUGAAAACAAUAUAAUAAUUUUGUAUCGCUACUUGUCUGCCCCCAGAAUAACAAAAGUACAAAUAGACAAUACUUCACCUGCUACCAUAUCACUCUGACGUAUAUAUAUGAACCCAUCAACCCACAGGGAAUCACACUCUUUUUCAUAAACACACUGCAACUGACUUCACCCCCCAGCCUGCAUGAAUAAAACAUGCAUGUUGUAGCUACUGCAAAUAGUUUUUUUUUUUGUUUUUUUUAAAGCUUAGUGGAAUGCUGAGUUUGCUUAGUAAUAACUGCCUCUGAUGCAAAAAAAAAAAUGGAUGUCAAAUAACUUUCUUCAACAGAAAAGAGAUUCUUGUUAUUGGGUCCCAGGAGAUGGUGAAACAAAUUCUGCCAUCUGCUGGCUCCCUGUUGGAACAUGUUGGGCCUGUUGCAAGGAAUCUUUGCCUUUAGGUUUGAUAGCCAUCUAAGUUUUGAACCGCACACCACAAUGUUUGUACCAUCUUUUUUCCAUGAUAUAAAAUUUUCAAAAAUACAACCCUUCUUUACUUCUAAAGACAUAGAGGCAAUUUGACAUGGCUUCAUCUUGCCUGGAUUAGUGCAACAACCUUUUUACUUGCCUGAUUCAAAAAUCUGCUGACCGACUACAGACUGUUCAGCCUGAAAACCACAGGGGAGAGGACGUUUGCAGUCAGGGCCUGAGGUCCAUUUUAAAACUGAUGAUUUUAGGUUUUAUAACAUUAGUUUUAAAUGACUAAUCAGUUUUAUUGUGCUGCUAUUGUAAAGCAUUUUGCUGGAUUUUGAAAAGUGUUCUAUAAAUAAAGUGAAUUGUUACUAUAAUUACUAUUGACACAUUUAUUUAUUUACUUUAUUGUCACUUUGGUCAUCAUGUUACAAUCACUAUACUAGUGAAACCCAGGUGGUAGAGUUUAUAGUGCCAUCUGGAAGAAAGAAGAGGGAGAAUCCACAUAGCCACCAAUCCCCUUCUUGAUAUUGGAUGUUACAAAAGAAUACCAUGACAUUAAUACACUGAUAAAUGUUCCUGCAUUGCCACAGUUAGUGUGCAUAUUGUUUUCACACAUGGUCCACUUUCUUUUGAAUGUGAUCAGUGUUCUUGCCUCUGUUGCUUAGUCAUGUCUAUGCAGAAGUAGCAUCAACAACUUAAAAGUAAGUUGUUGUAACUCACAAGUACAUUGUCCACUCUUCCCCAAAUCUUAAUGUUUGAUAAGAGUCUUGGCCUGAAGACAUCUACAUGCCAACACUGUUAUAAUCAUGCUA